ACUACUGGCUGGGAUUUUAAUUGUUCACGCGGCAAUUACGGCGAUGGCGUUCGAUAAGCCUGACUGUUCCGGAAAGACCUCUACCCACCUCCACCCAACUACUCAGUAAAUAAUAGAGACAAGACAGGAUAAAAACAAAUGCAAACUUUUGUGUGUUUACUUCGUGACGGUGACAAGGGUUCCUGGAGUGCCCGAUUCGGCAAGGAGACAGUAGUUAACAAUGCUGUUGAAUGGUUUCCUACCGUCUUACACCUUCGAGCUGCGAGGGCAAAUGAAAUAAAUGCAAAUUGCCUCCUACGAAGUCACCGCAGCGACACGACGGGCACCACGAAAUGAGACCCCAAUCGAGGGGAAGAUGAACCACUGAACCACCGAACCACCGAACCAGAGAACCACUAAGCCACCAUCAGACAACCGCAGCAGAUCCACCAAAUUAUGUAAAAACCUUGGCAGCAAACACCAGCAAAUUGUGGCCUAGUGCCGAAGUUGUCUGUUUCUUGCAUUUUGGUAGGACAACGCAAGAUCUGAGUUGCCGAGUCUGAGUUGCUGGCCCGUUUUGAUUAACAUAAAGCGAAUAAUAGACAUCGACUGGCAGCAACGUGUAC
Molecule: non-coding RNA, 605 nt
Organism: Drosophila melanogaster (fruit fly)
Lineage: Eukaryota; Metazoa; Arthropoda; Insecta; Diptera; Drosophilidae
Source: Ensembl